UAAAAUAAAUAUGAUUUUUUAUUAAUGGUGUUAGAAAAAAUAGUUAUAUUAGGGGCAUUUGUGCAAAAAUAGUGUUUUAUGAGGGUACAGAAAUAAAUAUAAAUUUUAAGAGGGUAUUUAUGCAAAUUUGAAUUUUUAGAAGGGUAUUUAUGCAAAAAAUUCCAAAAGAGUUGAAUUGCUUCAAGCGAUAUGUCUGCAUUAUAUAUAUAUAUAUAUAUUACUAAUCUUUCAUAAAUUUCAAUGUUUUAAAAUAUUUUUUAUUAAUUUUUAGAUGAUAAAUUAAUAUUUAAUUAUAAAAUAUCUAAAAAAUUAAUUUUAAUCCGGAUUAAUGUAGAACCUAUUAAGGGUACCACAUAUAUUUUUUCAGCUUAUGAGUACGCAUUAAUCAUCACUAAAUUUGAAAUUUAUUUGAAUCCGAGCUUAGAUUCGGGUAGCCAUAAUCAUGCCCAAAUUUAAAUAAAUUGCUAGCAAAAUAGCAAAGUAAUAUGAUACUCCCAAAUAUGCUACCAUUUUUUAUAUUUUUUUUGAAUUUUAUUUUAUUUAUUAUUAUUUUUUGAUCAAAAAAUAUGUUUUAAUAUGAAAAAUUACAUGAUCAUCGAAAAAUCAUGAUUUCUUCUUCAGUGCAAAGAUCAUUCUUAAAUCUACAGUAUAUCAUGAUAUGAUUUCUCCUUAUUUUUCCUUUUUUGCCUAUUUUAGGUAUCAGAAGAAAAAAAGAGAAUGGGAUAAUAGAGGGGGUUAUACCUGAUCUCGGAGGAAUUUAGCCUCAAAUCCGGCAAGAAAACCCUUUCCCCUUCAUUUUAUCUUGGAUUGUUUUCCGAAUA
Molecule: long non-coding RNA, 821 nt
Filed under: Phoenix dactylifera (date palm)
Lineage: Eukaryota; Viridiplantae; Streptophyta; Magnoliopsida; Arecales; Arecaceae
Description: long non-coding RNA (PDAC_LNC002741)
Source: RNAcentral